RNAcentral lists this ribosomal RNA (253 nucleotides) under uncultured bacterium. RNAcentral describes it as "partial 16S ribosomal RNA". It matches the Rfam family "Bacterial small subunit ribosomal RNA", at positions 524 to 776 of the family's 1533-position model. The record is from RNAcentral.
UACAGAGGUCUCAAGCGUUGUUCGGAUUCAUUGGGCGUAAAGGGUGCGUAGGCGGCGCGGUAAGUCGGGUGUGAAAUCUCGGAGCUUAACUCCGAAACUGCAUUCGAUACUGCCGUGCUUGAGGACUGGAGAGGAGACUGGAAUUUACGGUGUAGCGGUGAAAUGCGCAGAUAUCGGGAGGAACACCAGUGGCGAAGGCGGCACUCUGGGCCGGAACUGACGCUGAGGAGCGAAAGCGUGGGGAGCAAACAGG